RNAcentral lists this ribosomal RNA (292 nucleotides) under uncultured eukaryote. Its description in RNAcentral is "partial 18S ribosomal RNA". It matches the Rfam family "Eukaryotic small subunit ribosomal RNA", at positions 6 to 313 of the family's 1831-position model. The record is from RNAcentral.
GGUUGAUCCUGCCAGUAGUGAUAUGCUUGUUUCAAAGAUUAAGCCAUGCAUGUGUAAGUAAAAACUUUUAUACAGUGAAACUGUAGAUGGCUCAUUAAAACAGUUGAAGUCUACACAGUUAAUUUUUAAAUGUAUAACUUCGGAAAUUCUGAAGCUAAUACAUGAAACAGGCCUGACUUUUGUGGAAAGGCUGUUUUUAUCAUUUGAUGAAUCAGAACGUUUCGGCGUAAUUGGUUGAAUAAUAAUAAAAACUAGAAUCUUUUAUAAGAGAAACUGUAUGAUCUUCUGACCU